Long non-coding RNA from Acanthopagrus latus (yellowfin seabream), 508 nucleotides. RefSeq lists it as uncharacterized. The record is from RefSeq and is a predicted model, not a curated record. The transcript has 3 exons. NCBI's taxonomy places the organism in Eukaryota, Metazoa, Chordata, Actinopteri, Spariformes, Sparidae.
CCCGGGUAGCACAGGCACCGGGACGUGACCCGACACGAACCCUGCGGGUCAGAUUAGAGGAAGGAAACACUCGUGUCUGUGAACGACAGAUCCAUGACCAAAGAGUCUGUGUGAGGGUUUGCAGACGGGGCUGCAGACAGACUGGAGUCUUCUCCCACCACUGACGGUCUCACUGCCAGGGUCAACUUGUAGCUGCUCUGGAGCUGUCAUCGCCUUUCAUGAUGUUCUUCGCCAGACGGAUAUGCCCAGGGGCGAUCACUUAUUUCCAUUUUUCUGAUCACUUAACAGACCUCAGGAAAAAAUGGAAAUGUGAAGGUGACAAGUGGACAACAACCUUCUCCUGAGGAAGAGAAUGUGAAAGCCCCAGAGCUGCUGCUAAAUGGACUAAUUGUGCUGAGACCCAUUUGAUAAGCGACUGUUUCCGAGGUCACGAAUCAGUUUACAGAAGAAAGAGUGAGGAGGACAGCUCUCUUACUGCAACACCAACAUCCCACAUGACCCUCGUGUG